RNAcentral lists this unclassified non-coding RNA (287 nucleotides) under uncultured bacterium. RNAcentral's name for it is "partial contains 16S ribosomal RNA and 16S-23S ribosomal RNA intergenic spacer region". It matches the Rfam family "Bacterial small subunit ribosomal RNA", at positions 69 to 358 of the family's 1533-position model. The record is from RNAcentral.
AACCUCUUCGGAGGUUAGCGGCGGACGGGUGACUAACACGUGGGCAACCUACCUUGUAGAUGGGGAUAACAUCGAGAAAUCGGUGCUAAUACCGAAUAAUACUUUUCUCCACAUGGAGGAAAGUUAAAAGUUGGCUUUUGCUAACACUACAAGAUGGGCCCGCGGCGCAUUAGCUAGUUGGUGAGGUAACGGCUCACCAAGGCGACGAUGCGUAGCCGACCUGAGAGGGUGAUCGGCCACACUGGGACUGAGACACGGCCCAUACUCCUACGGGAGGCAGCAGUGGG